This 398-nucleotide ribosomal RNA is filed under the name uncultured bacterium. Its description in RNAcentral is "bacterial SSU rRNA". It matches the Rfam family "Bacterial small subunit ribosomal RNA", at positions 29 to 430 of the family's 1533-position model. The record is from RNAcentral.
AUUAAACGCUGGCGGCAUGCCUUACACAUGCAAGUCGAACGGCAGCACGGGGGCAACCCUGGUGGCGAGUGGCGAACGGGUGAGUAAAGCAUCGGAACGUGCCCUGGAGUGGGGGAUAACGUAGCGAAAGUUACGCUAAUACCGCAUAUUCUGUGAGCAGGAAAGCAGGGGAUCGCAAGACCUUGCGCUCUGGGAGCGGCCGAUGUCGGAUUAGCUAGUUGGUGGGGUAAAGGCCUACCAAGGCGACGAUCCGUAGCGGGUCUGAGAGGAUGAUCCGCCACACUGGGACUGAGACACGGCCCAGACUCCUACGGGAGGCAGCAGUGGGGAAUUUUGGACAAUGGGCGAAAGCCUGAUCCAGCCAUGCCGCGUGAGUGAAGAAGGCCUCGGUUGGUAAG